GAAAUGCGAUAAGUAAUGUGAAUUGCAGAAUUCAGUGAAUCAUCGAAUCUUUGAACGCACCUUGCGCUCCUUGGUAUUCCUUGGAGCAUGCCUGUUUGAGUAUCAUGAAAUCUUCAAAGUAAAUCUUUUGUUAACUCAAUUGGUUUCUACUUUGGUAUUGGAGGUCUUUGCAGCUUCACACCUGCUCCUCUUUGUUCAUUAGCUGGAUCUCAGUGUUAUGCUUGGUUCCAAUCGGCGUGAUAAGUUAUCUAUCGCUGAGGACACUGUAAAAGGUGGCCAAGGUAAAUGCAGAUGAACCGCUUCUAAUAGUCCAUUGACUUGGACAAUACUUUUAUGAUCUGAUCUCAAAUCAGGUAGGACUACCCGCUGAACUUAAGC
RNAcentral lists this unclassified non-coding RNA (378 nucleotides) under plant metagenome. RNAcentral's name for it is "partial contains 5.8S ribosomal RNA, internal transcribed spacer 2, and large subunit ribosomal RNA". The stretch from base 1 to 105 matches the Rfam family "5.8S ribosomal RNA", at positions 50 to 154 of the family's 154-position model. The record is from RNAcentral.